GACGAACGCUAGCGGCAGGCCUAAUACAUGCAAGUCGAACGGUAAGGUCCCUUCGGGGAUACACGAGUGGCGCACGGGUGCGUAACACGUAUGCAACCUACCCUUUAGUGGGGGAUAGUCAUUGGAAACGAUGAAUAAUACCCCAUGUUAUCAUAAAGUAGCAUUACUUAAUGAUCAAAGCUUUAGUGCUAAAGGAUGGGCAUGCGCCCCAUUAGCUAGUUGGUAGAGUAACGGUCUACCAAGGCAACGAUGGGUAGCUGGUCUGAGAGGAUGAUCAGCCACACGGGCACUGAGACACGGGCCCGACUCCUACGGGAGGCAGCAGUAAGGAAUAUUGGUCAAUGGGGGCAACCCUGAACCAGCCAUGCCGCGUGCAGGACGACGGCCCUCUGGGUUGUAAACUGCUUUUAUCUGGGAAUAAUGUGCUCCUAUACGGAGUUUUGUAGGUACCAGAAGAAUAAGCACCGGCUAACUACG
Molecule: ribosomal RNA, 477 nt
Filed under: uncultured Bacteroidota bacterium
Lineage: Bacteria; Pseudomonadati; Bacteroidota
Description: bacterial SSU rRNA
Rfam family: Bacterial small subunit ribosomal RNA
Source: RNAcentral